AUUCCAGCUCCAAUAGCGUAUAUUAAAGUUGUUGCAGUUAAAAAGCUCGUAGUUGGAUUUCUGGCGGGAGCGGCCUGUCCUGCCCUUUGCGGGGUUGAGCACAAGCGCUGCAUCCGGCCAUCCUUGUGGAGAGCGUUUCUGGCAUUCAGUUGUCGGACUCGGGAUCCGCAUCGUUUACUGUGAAAAAAUUAGAGUGUUUAAAGCAGGCAUUUGCUUGAAUACAUUAGCAUGGAAUAAUAAGAUAGGACUUAGUCGUUAUUUUGUUGGUCUUGCACGUCUAGGUAAUGAUUAAUAGGGACGGUUGGGGUUCUUCGUAUUCAAUUGUCAGAGGUGAAAUUCUUGGAUUUAUGGGAGACGAACUGCUGCGAAAGCGUCGAACAAGGACGUUCUCAUCA
This 395-nucleotide ribosomal RNA is filed under the name Stramenopiles sp. MAST-6. RNAcentral's name for it is "partial small subunit ribosomal RNA". It matches the Rfam family "Eukaryotic small subunit ribosomal RNA", at positions 582 to 975 of the family's 1831-position model. The record is from RNAcentral.